UCUCAAACACCAUCUUUCUCAUCGAACUAGUGUUGCACUAAGGAAUUUCUACCAUUUCCACCGGCGAGGGAACUCCAAGCAACCCCAAAUUAACAUCACACUCUCCCUAUAAUCCCUCAAACACUAAACCACCAUCAAUUUUCCCGAAAUCCUCUUUGUUUUUCAUUAAUUUCAGAUCUUAAGACGGAACCCUAAUUCCUUCCUCGCCUCUGAUUCAUCAUUUAAGGGUCUGGUUUGAUUGUUCUCCAAGCCUUGAAGAUUUUUUGACUUGAAACAAGUGUUAGACGAGUUGUUCUCACAAGAAAAACCCGAAUAACACUCAUUUUGGGUUCAAAUCGAAACUGCCGAAUAAUCCGUUCAAACCCAUCGUCCAUUUAUCUCUUUCAGGUAUUUCAGGUCCUUUGGUUUUUUGUUGUAAUUUCAUUCCAAGAUUCGUUUGAUUCCUUCCUUUCUCUGAUUUUUCUAUUUUUUCACAUCACGCCUGUUAAUUUUAGUUUAUUUUUUUUUUCUUUCUUUCAGUUAGGGUUUGUCUUAGUUUGUUUGAUUUUGUUUUCGUUUAAAUUCCCCUCCCAUUUUUGUUUUAGUUGAAAUCCUUGGUUUCAAGUGUUCGUAUAACCAUGGUUGCCCUAUUAUUGAAUUUUUCUGUUGGGUUCUGGAUUUGUUAAUUGGGUUCUGAAAAUCAGAAGCCCAAAGAAGAGGGUCAGUCCGAGUGGCAGGCCCAAGGUUUGGGCUUGAGUCUUGGGUCAACUUGACCCAGGGUCUUGAGGAUAAAUAACCUAAGCUUAAAGGGUAAUUCGAGGUUUUUAAGUAGGAGAAUCUUCAGUAACUGAUUUAGGAAGCUACUAGGAAGGUGAGUUUGGGGCUGUUUUAACAAAUAACUUUUCAAACUAAGGACUCAAUAACAAAAAUGAAAAUUGAAAAAGGAUUAAUGAGCAAAGUUUGAACUCAUUUCUGCUACCCUAAACUUCCCUAUAAAAGGCCCUUACUUCUAGUCAAGAGGGAGGGGAUCAGACCUGGAGAAAUCAGAGACGGCUAAAAGAAAAUACUAUACACUGAAAAGGUCUGAAAAAUCAGGAGAAAAUACAAAAAAACACCACAAUACACUGUUACAUUAAAGCUUUGUGUGUAUUUCUUUGGGUUUUUAAAAGUUGGAAGUAAUCGUGGAUUCAUUCUAGGUUUGAAAUGGAUUAAAGAAGCUGAAUUUGUUGUUGUCAUUGUGCUGGAGUGUAUAUGUUUCUACUGUUAAACUUCUCAUUCUUUCUUCUGCUCUAAUUGCACCAGGUACUCUUCUGAAACUAUGGUUGGAAAUGAAGCCUGAUUGAGUUUCGUGUAAAGAUCUGUAAAUCGAGCUGAAGUUGAAUGAAAAGCAUUAGUCCCUGUUGUUGGUUGCUGCUUGAUUUUGCCAUAUUCUUAUUCAUGUUUUAGUCUAGCUUAUUGUGAAUACUCCAUUUCCUGAUAUACAUUUGGUUUUGAGUGCUGGAUUUAGACCUUGUGUGAAUACAGCUGAUUCAAGAGUGUUUUGGACUUGGUAGAAUAUGUAUUAAUUAAGGACUAUGAUUCCUAGUUUAAUUAGUUAAGGCUGGCUGGUUUGGAUGUAUGUUUCAUAGCUUUGGUAAAUUCUAAGUUCAGACCCUUUAUGUUAUUGGUCUAGCAAGCUUGAUUUAGGCUUAUUUCCCACUGAUUAUUUUAGAUUUGCUCCUAUAUCGCUUGAAAUACAGUACAGGGGUUUUAGAGUUGUCAUUUUGCUCAUGUAAACCUUGAAUCUUAAAAAGACUUUCGAAUGGGAUUUGAGUCUAAGUUUUGACUUGAAAUUUUUAAAUUUGGAUUAACUCUUCAUAUUUAGUUUUCUUGGGCAAGUUUCGAUGUCGUGUGGUCUGUUUUAAAUAUGCUAUAUUUGAAUCAGAAUUUAAUACGAGUUGGGGG
Molecule: long non-coding RNA, 1923 nt
Filed under: Nicotiana tabacum (common tobacco)
Lineage: Eukaryota; Viridiplantae; Streptophyta; Magnoliopsida; Solanales; Solanaceae
Description: long non-coding RNA (NTAB_LNC003150)
Source: RNAcentral